ACUACUUUCCUUACUCUUCUUGUGGGUUUGGUUCAAUCUGCCCUUAACUGGGUGGAUUGUUUUUACCUCCCGCUCGUUUACUUUGAAAAAAUUAGAGUGUUUAAAGCAGGCGUUUUCCGCCCUGAAUACAUUAGCAUGGGAUAAUAGAAUAGGACUGUCUGUCUAUUCUGUUGGUUUCUAGAUGGAUAGUAAUGAUUAAUAGAGAUGGUUGGGGACAUUUAUAUUCCAUGGUCAGAGGUGAAAUUCUUGGAUUCAUGGAAGAUAAACAAGUGCGAAAGCAUUUGUCAAGGAUGUUUUCAUUAAUCAAGAACGAAAGUUAGGGGAUCGAAGACGAUCAGAUACCGUCGUAGUCUUAACCAUAAACGAUGCGGACCAGGGAUUGGGAGACGUUACGUGGAUGACUCCCCCAGCACCUUGUGAGAAAUCACGAGUCUUUGCGUUCCGGGGGGAGUAUGGUCGCAAGGCUGAAACUUAAAGGAAUUGACGGAAGGGCACCACCAGGAGUGGAGCCUGCGGCUUAAUUUGACCCAACACGGGGAAACUCACCAGGUCCAGACAUAGUAAGGAUUGACAGAUUGAGAGCUCUUUCUUGAUUCUAUGGGUGGUGGUGCAUGGCCGUUCUUAGUUGGUGGAGUGAUUUGUCUGGUUAAUUCCGAUAACGAACGAGACCUCAGCCUGCUAACUAGUGGGUUCAACCUUCUGCAUGGGUGAAUCUUUAAUUGUGUGGGAUCUUUGUAUUUCAUUCAAUUAAAGUGGAUCCUUGACGAGUUGGAUCUCUUAUUUUUUACUUCUUAGAGGGACUAUUCGCGUCUAGCGAGUGGAAGUUUGAGGCAAUAACAGGUCUGUGAUGCCCUUAGAUGUUCUGGGCUGCACGCGCGCUACAAUGACUAUCUCAACAAGUUCUUUUUUAACCUUGGCCGAAAGGUCUGGGUAAUCUUAUGAAAGGUAGUCGUGCUGGGGAUAGACUAUUGUAAUUAUUAGUCUUCAACGAGGAAUUCCUAGUAAGUGCAGGUCAUCAGCCUGCGCUGAUUACGUCCCUGCCCUUUGUACACACCGCCCGUCGCUCCUACCGAUUGAAUGAUCCGGUGAAAUCUUGGGAUUGGGAAGCAUACUUGGGGCAACUCAAGCAACUUACUAAGAACUUGCUUAAACCUUAUCAUUU
This 1162-nucleotide ribosomal RNA is filed under the name metagenome. RNAcentral describes it as "bacterial SSU rRNA". It matches the Rfam family "Eukaryotic small subunit ribosomal RNA", at positions 675 to 1774 of the family's 1831-position model. The record is from RNAcentral.